This is a long non-coding RNA of Phyllostomus discolor (pale spear-nosed bat), 268 nucleotides long. RefSeq lists it as uncharacterized. The transcript is spliced from 2 exons. NCBI's taxonomy places the organism in Eukaryota, Metazoa, Chordata, Mammalia, Chiroptera, Phyllostomidae. The record is from RefSeq and is a predicted model, not a curated record.
UGCCACAGCCACUCCAACCUUCAGCAACUGCCACUCUGACCAGUCAGCAGCCAUCAACAAUGAGGCAAGACCCCACCAGCAAAAAUUAACAAAAGGAUUACGACUUGCAGAAGGCUCAGAUGAAGGCCAAGGGAAGGAGCAUGGUGCACAUCCAGUCCAGGUGACCCACCAGUGACUGCAGUCCUAGCCACCUCCAGACUGCAACUGUCAGAGAACCACCCAGGUGAGCCCACAGAAAAUUGAGAGGUAAUAAUAUAUUUUUGUUUUA